RNAcentral lists this ribosomal RNA (465 nucleotides) under Vreelandella stevensii. Its description in RNAcentral is "partial 16S ribosomal RNA". It matches the Rfam family "Bacterial small subunit ribosomal RNA", at positions 338 to 795 of the family's 1533-position model. The record is from RNAcentral. Lineage: Bacteria; Pseudomonadati; Pseudomonadota; Gammaproteobacteria; Oceanospirillales; Halomonadaceae.
CCUACGGGAGGCUACAGUGGGGAAUAUUGGACAAUGGGGGGAACCCUGAUCCAGCCAUGCCGCGUGUGUGAAGAAGGCCCUCGGGUUGUAAAGCACUUUCAGUGAGGAAGAACGCCUGGUGGUUAAUACCCAUCAGGAAAGACAUCACUCACAGAAGAAGCACCGGCUAACUCCGUGCCAGCAGCCGCGGUAAUACGGAGGGUGCGAGCGUUAAUCGGAAUUACUGGGCGUAAAGCGCGCGUAGGUGGCUUGAUAAGCCGGUUGUGAAAGCCCCGGGCUCAACCUGGGAACGGCAUCCGGAACUGUCAAGCUAGAGUGCAGGAGAGGAAGGUAGAAUUCCCGGUGUAGCGGUGAAAUGCGUAGAGAUCGGGAGGAAUACCAGUGGCGAAGGCGGCCUUCUGGACUGACACUGACACUGAGGUGCGAAAGCGUGGGUAGCAAACAGGAUUAGAUACCCGUGUAGUC